CAUGCCAAACUCUGCCAGUGCUUUAAAGUCUCCUCCAGGAGCAGGGACUGCCCCCAGUGAUGACACAUGCAUGGCUGGUUCUCCCAUACUUUACCAAGAGCAUCUUGAGACUUUCCUUAACUUUUCAGCCUCCCUCUCCAUUUCAGCAUUUCAGACGAGUGCAGAAAUCAGCCAGCACCUUUCUUCCCCUAUUUGUGCUGUGAAAGCAGCAACAUCUUCCCUGUAUUUGGCUUCCUUGCCUUCAACCAGUCACUAAUUUACAGAAAGACCUUUCAUCAGGACAACGCUUCAUGUGUUUACAAGCAUUUGAGGAAUCUUCUAUAAAUGAAAUUUCAUCCAGUCCUUCAGCAUCAGCUGGAGCAGGAAGUCUUGUUACAUGUGUCUAACUACUGUCAAAUACAAGGUCAGGAGAAAAAGA
Long non-coding RNA from Passer domesticus (house sparrow), 418 nucleotides. RefSeq lists it as uncharacterized. The transcript is spliced from 2 exons. NCBI's taxonomy places the organism in Eukaryota, Metazoa, Chordata, Aves, Passeriformes, Passeridae. The record is from RefSeq and is a predicted model, not a curated record.